RNAcentral lists this ribosomal RNA (356 nucleotides) under uncultured bacterium. RNAcentral's name for it is "bacterial SSU rRNA". It matches the Rfam family "Bacterial small subunit ribosomal RNA", at positions 32 to 383 of the family's 1533-position model. The record is from RNAcentral.
AAUCAACGCUGGCGGCGUGCCUCAGACAUGCAAGUCGAACGAUUAAAGCUCUCUUCGGAGAGUGCAUAAAGUGGCGCACGGGUGAGUAACACGUAAGUAAUCUACCUUCGAGUGGGAAUAACGUCCGGAACGGACGCUAAUACCGCAUAACGCAGCGGCAUCGCAAGAUGACAGUUGUUAAAGAUUUAUCGCUUGAAGAGGAGCUUGCGGCAGAUUAGCNGUUGGUAAGGUAACGGCUUACCAAGGCUACGAUCUGUAUCCGGUCUAAGAGGACGGUCGGACACACUGACACUGAAUAACGGGUCAGACUCCUACGGGAGGCAGCAGUCGGGAAUUUUGGGCAAUGGGGGAAACCC